UCUGUUUUUUGAAGCUUCUUUUUAUUGAGCUAUUUAGAGCGGAAGAGGGAGUUGUGUAGCGAGAGAGGGAGAGAGAGAGAGAGAGAGGUACAGAAGAGAAUUGCUGUAUGUCAGUAGAUUGUAUAGAGACUUACCUUGGUGGAAUAGGCGAGCUCGCAAACCCACUGCAAUGGCCUCAACUACGCAAAAGACGACGCCUCCUUCUCCGUGUUGCGCCUCUCAAAGUGACUCUGCUACCAUUCGCCGCCAGGCUGCUCCAACGCCUUCGUCCGUAGUGCCGAAUGCGGUGCAAGAUUGGACCGAUCGCCGCCUCGAGGAUCAGCUCGGUGAGAAGGCUGCCAUCGCGGCUUUGAUUCGCCCUGUUGAUUCACUUCCCGAACCUCCCACAAACGCCGCCGCCAAAGCUGGCAUCCCAGUCA
RNAcentral lists this unclassified non-coding RNA (419 nucleotides) under Hevea brasiliensis (rubber tree). Lineage: Eukaryota; Viridiplantae; Streptophyta; Magnoliopsida; Malpighiales; Euphorbiaceae. The record is from RNAcentral.